This 429-nucleotide ribosomal RNA is filed under the name Verrucomicrobiota bacterium. Its description in RNAcentral is "Verrucomicrobia bacterium partial 16S ribosomal RNA". It matches the Rfam family "Bacterial small subunit ribosomal RNA", at positions 355 to 776 of the family's 1533-position model. Lineage: Bacteria; Pseudomonadati; Verrucomicrobiota. The record is from RNAcentral.
UAGGGAAUCUUCGGCAAUGGGGGGAACCCUGACCGAGCAACGCCGCGUGAGUGAAGAAGGUUUUCGGUUCGUAAAGCUCUGUUGUUAAGGAAGAACGAGCGUGAGAAUGGAAAGUUCAUGCUGUGACGGUACUUAACCAGAAAGGGACGGCUAACUACGUGCCAGCAGCCGCGGUAAUACGUAGGUCCCGAGCGUUGUCCGGAUUUAUUGGGCGUAAAGCGAGCGCAGGCGGUUAGAAAAGUCUGAAGUGAAAGGCAGUGGCUCAACCAUUGUAGGCUUUGGAAACUGUUUAACUUGAGUGCAGAAGGGGAGAGUGGAAUUCCAUGUGUAGCGGUGACAUACGUAGAUAUGUGGAGGAACACCGGUGGCGAAAGCGGCUCUCUGGUCUGUAACUGACGCCGAGGCUCGAAAGCGUGGAGAGCGAACAGG